AGGACGCAGCGAAUCGCGAUAAGUAAUGUGAAUUGCAGAUUUUCCGUGAAUCAUCGAAUCUUUGAACGCACCUUGCGCUCCUUGGUAUUCCGAGGAGCAUGCCUGUUUGAGUGUCAUCGAAAAUCUCAAGCCAAGCUGUUUUG
Molecule: ribosomal RNA, 143 nt
Filed under: Pisolithus albus
Lineage: Eukaryota; Fungi; Basidiomycota; Agaricomycetes; Boletales; Pisolithaceae
Description: 5.8S ribosomal RNA
Rfam family: 5.8S ribosomal RNA (bases 1-116)
About the family: 5.8S ribosomal RNA (5.8S rRNA) is a component of the large subunit of the eukaryotic ribosome. It is transcribed by RNA polymerase I as part of the 45S precursor that also contains 18S and 28S rRNA. Functionally, it is thought that 5.8S rRNA may be involved in ribosome translocation.
Source: RNAcentral